GACAGCACGGGCACCCGCACGGCCGCAGUGAGGACAGCACGGGCACCUGCACGGCUGCAGUGGUGCUGCUUGCUCAGGCUGGCCAGGCUAUGGUGGGUCACUGAGCUCGCUGUUUGCAUCCCAGUGAGACAGAUGGAGAUGGUGGUGCUUGCCCAGUGAGAGUGGCCCGGUGCUGAGGAGUUCUAGAAUUUUGCAUGGAAGGAUUGAAAACUGAGGAGGCAGGAAGGCAGUGGGAGGAAGGACUGCGGUCAUUUUGUGUGGCCUUACGGGCUUCCCUGUGACAACAGGUGGAGGGGACAGGUUGGUGCAGGGAGGGGAGGGGCAGUCCCGGGGGCUCCAGACAGGGAAGAAGUCUCCAUCAACGAGAGCUUUCACAAACUGGAAAGGACUGCUCCAAAAAGUAGAAUUUCCAUGCCCGUGGGGGUGUCAAGAGCAGAACACGGGAUCCCACCUGAAGGGCACGAUCCAGGGGAAUUCAGACAGGAGGUGAGGAUGGGGUGGACGACGGCCUGAGCCUAAGCAUGUGGCCACCCCGGGACUGGGUCUGCAGACAGUUGAUGAGCAUGAGCCGUCGACUUUAUUUACAGAGAUUCUCCUCCAGGCUCCUCCCAGGUGCGCCAGGAGCAUCAAGAAAUGCAGACGUAACUGGGUCCAGGGCUCCCCACGCUUGGGUUGUGGGGACCUGCUCCCCGGGUGGGGUGAGUGCUCCUAGAAGUCGGGGAAGGUGGGUGCUGGGUGACGUCAAAAAAGGGAGAAUGUGGGAUUUCAUAUGGGCUGGGGAAUGGCUUGGUUUCUUAUAGGAAGACAGGAAGGUGGGUUACCUGCUCCCAGGCAGGGAAGAACAAAAGAAACAGGGAAGGCAGCCUGGGUGGUGGCUGGGGGUCUCACCUGACCAUGGCUGAGCUCCUGUUGACCUUGGAGAAGGAAGGGUGGGGCCAGACUCUGGAUGGCUUGGAGCCCCCGGCCAGGGUCCACACUGGGAAGAAAGGAAGGGUGGGGCCAGACUCUGGAUGGCUUGGAGCCCCCGGCCAGGGUCCACAAUGGGAAGAAAGUAAAGGGAAGUUAACGACUGAAGGUUCUCUCAGUUAUCGCAAGAGAUGCAGAACUACUGAAGAACCCGGAUGGAGUUGGAGUCAGACUGUGAAGGUGAGGAAGAGGCAAGAGUGGAAU
This 1170-nucleotide long non-coding RNA is filed under the name Piliocolobus tephrosceles (Ugandan red Colobus). RNAcentral's name for it is "lncRNA (ENSPTEG00000038167.1)". The record is from RNAcentral. Lineage: Eukaryota; Metazoa; Chordata; Mammalia; Primates; Cercopithecidae.